UACGUAGGAUCCGAGCGUUGUCCGGAGUUACUGGGUGUAAAGGGUGCGUAGGCUGUUCUGUGCGUCAGAGGUGAAAUCCACGAGCUUAACUCGUGGGGUGCCUUUGAUACGGCAGGGCUUGAGUACGAGAGAGGUGCGUGGAAUUCCUGGUGUAGCAGUGAAAUGCGUAGAUAUCAGGAGGAACACCGGUGGCGAAGGCGGCGCACUGGCUCGUAACUGACGCUGAGGCACGAAAGCGUGGGGAUCAAACAGGAUUAGAUACCCUGGUAGUCCACGCCUUAAACGAUGCAUGCUUGGUGUUGGUCUCGCAAGAGAUCAGUGCCGUAGUUAACAUGAUAAGCAUGCCACCUGGGGAGUACGAUCGCAAGGUUG
RNAcentral lists this ribosomal RNA (372 nucleotides) under uncultured prokaryote. RNAcentral's name for it is "bacterial SSU rRNA". It matches the Rfam family "Bacterial small subunit ribosomal RNA", at positions 524 to 896 of the family's 1533-position model. The record is from RNAcentral.